CCUACGGGUGGCAGCAGUGGGGGAUAUUGCACAAUGGGGGGAACCCUGAUGCAGCGACGCCGCGUGGGUGAAGGAGCGUUUCGGCGCGUAAAGCCCUAUCGGCAGGGAAGAAGCUGACGGUACCUGACCAAGAAGCCCCGGCUAACUACGUGCCAGCAGCCGCGGGAAGACGUAGGGGGCAAGCGUUAUCCGGAUGUACUGGGUGUAAAGGGGGCGCAGACGGGAAUGCAAGCCAGGAGUGAAAGCCCGGGGCCCAACCCCGGGACUGUUCUUGGAACUGGAUGGCUUGAGUACAGGAGGGGCAGGCGGAAUUCGUAGUGUAGCGGUGAAAUGCGUAGAUAUUAGGAGGAACACCGGUGGAGAAGGCAGCCUGCUAGACUGUGACUGACGUUGAGGCCCGAAGGCGUGGGGAGCAAACAGGAUUAGAUACCCGAGUAGUC
RNAcentral lists this ribosomal RNA (440 nucleotides) under uncultured bacterium. RNAcentral describes it as "partial 16S ribosomal RNA". It matches the Rfam family "Bacterial small subunit ribosomal RNA", at positions 338 to 795 of the family's 1533-position model. The record is from RNAcentral.